This 254-nucleotide ribosomal RNA is filed under the name uncultured bacterium. Its description in RNAcentral is "partial 16S ribosomal RNA". It matches the Rfam family "Bacterial small subunit ribosomal RNA", at positions 524 to 776 of the family's 1533-position model. The record is from RNAcentral.
UACGUAGGGUGCAAGCGUUAAUCGGAAUUACUGGGCGUAAAGCGUGCGCAGGCGGUUAUGUAAGUCGGGUGUGAAACCUCCAGGCUCAACCUGGAGACGCCACCCGAUACUGCUAUAGCUUGAGUCCGGUAGGGGAGCGUGGAAUUCCUGGUGUAGCGGUGAAAUGCGCAGAUAUCAGGAGGAACACCAGCGGCGAAGGCGGCGCUCUGGGCCGGUACUGACACUGAGGAGCGAAAGCGUGGGGAGCAAACAGG